UAGGGAAUCUUCGGCAAUGGACGAAAGUCUGACCGAGCAACGCCGCGUGAGUGAAGAAGGUUUUCGGAUCGUAAAACUCUGUUGUUAGAGAAGAACAAGGACGUUAGUAACUGAACGUCCCCUGACGGUAUCUAACCAGAAAGCCACGGCUAACUACGUGCCAGCAGCCGCGGUAAUACGUAGGUGGCAAGCGUUGUCCGGAUUUAUUGGGCGUAAAGCGAGCGCAGGCGGUUUCUUAAGUCUGAUGUGAAAGCCCCCGGCUCAACCGGGGAGGGUCAUUGGAAACUGGGAGACUUGAGUGCAGAAGAGGAGGGUGGAAUUCCAUGUGUAGCGGUGAAAUGCGUAGAUAUAUGGAGGAACACCAGUGGCGAAGGCGACUCUCUGGUCUGUAACUGACGCUGAGGCUCGAAAGCGUGGGGAGCAAACAGG
This 429-nucleotide ribosomal RNA is filed under the name Gemmatimonadota bacterium. Its description in RNAcentral is "Gemmatimonadetes bacterium partial 16S ribosomal RNA". It matches the Rfam family "Bacterial small subunit ribosomal RNA", at positions 355 to 776 of the family's 1533-position model. The record is from RNAcentral. Lineage: Bacteria; Pseudomonadati; Gemmatimonadota.